AGUUCGGAUUGUAGGCUGAAACUCGCCUACAUGAAGCUGGAGUUACUAGUAAUCGCAGAUCAGAAUGCUGCGGUGAAUGCGUUCCCGGGUCUUGUACACACCGCCCGUCACACCACGGGAGUUGGAGACGCCCGAAGCCGAUUAUCUAACCUUUUGGAAGAAGUCGGCGAAGGUGGAAUCAAUAACUGGGGUGAAGUCGUAACAAGGUAGCCGUAUCGGAAGGUGCGGCUGGAUCACCUCCUUUCUAAGGAGA
RNAcentral lists this ribosomal RNA (253 nucleotides) under Clostridioides difficile. RNAcentral describes it as "partial 16S ribosomal RNA". It matches the Rfam family "Bacterial small subunit ribosomal RNA", at positions 1290 to 1533 of the family's 1533-position model. Lineage: Bacteria; Bacillati; Bacillota; Clostridia; Peptostreptococcales; Peptostreptococcaceae. The record is from RNAcentral.